This is a long non-coding RNA of Pseudoliparis swirei, 1096 nucleotides long. RefSeq lists it as uncharacterized. The record is from RefSeq and is a predicted model, not a curated record. NCBI's taxonomy places the organism in Eukaryota, Metazoa, Chordata, Actinopteri, Perciformes, Liparidae. The transcript has 4 exons.
GCCGAGCGGAUGAUGCUCUGCAGCCUGCGCUUGUCUUUGGCUGUGGCUGCAGGGUGCCAGACGGUGAUGGAGGAGCAGAUGAUGGACUCAACGAUGGCCGUGUAGAACUGUACCAUCAUCUUCCCUGGCAGGUUGAAUUUCGUCAGCCCACGUUUGAUGUCAGCUAUAAGAUAUUCUGUGAAAGGAUCGUUCCCCAAAGGCUGCUUGUCAACCAAGAGGUGCUGAGAAUGGGCCAGCUGAGGAAGGCCUUCAUUGAACUAGUGAAAGCAAAUGAAGGUCUUGAUGCUUCAAACUACAGGGGGCGCAGGACUCCCUCCACGGCCUCUCCCAGGCCUUCAGCCACCUCACCAUCCAGCCCAGCCACCUGAACAUCCUCGCAGAGCUUCCGCCCAACAUGAAAAUCCUGCUGCUUCAGCACUCUGAAGAUGGGUCAGAGCUCUACGGGGCCUUCUAUGAGGUCACCAGAGCUCCAAAACAAAAGGGGAAGACGGCGCAGGGAACAGGGAGCCUGGCGUGCACGAGGGUGGCCAAGGUUCCCGUCCGCCCGCAGGCUCUGCUGGCGCUGAGGGGCCGGACCCGGGCCUCCGAGGAACGGCGCGGUCUUCUCAAAUUUCUCGCUCUCUCCGGAGACAUCUUCUUGUUAGAAUAUAUAUAUAUACACACACACACGUAUAAUUAAAGAAGUCAUUAAUGCAGCUGAGAACACUAUUUAGAUCAGACUUAGAAACUGGAUCACCAUCAUCUUUUUUCUCACUUGUCAUCUUGGGGUUCUAGUUCUCAAAGGAAAAGAAUAAGGAUAAAACGAGUCAUGUGUUAUUGUACCAGAUGUUCACGUGUUAAUAAUAAGUUCACUAUUGACAGAAAUGCUGGAGAAGCCAGCGAGCCAAGAGAGCCAGCAGACGUGUGGCGAGCGGGGGCCGACGGAGGCCUCCAGGAUCACUGGGAAGCUGGCGGUUGAAUAACGGCCAGAAAAACCUCCUUCUUUUUGUUAUUUCCUUCUAAAAUGUUUGUGACUAGUUCAUAUACACUGGGGUGUAAUGAUGGAAUGACUUAUGUGACAAUAAAAGACUUGUAACUUGUAAAUUGGUAACACGCA